Sardina pilchardus (European sardine) is the source of this 958-nucleotide long non-coding RNA. RefSeq lists it as uncharacterized. The record is from RefSeq and is a predicted model, not a curated record. Lineage: Eukaryota; Metazoa; Chordata; Actinopteri; Clupeiformes; Clupeidae. The transcript is spliced from 7 exons.
GUCGGACACACACAGUGGCACAGUGGCAGAGUUGCUGCAGUUGCCCUCUCUCUGUGCUGCUGUCAACAGAAACCAGUUUGGGCAGAAACAGUCAUGUCACUGGCAAUACUUCUAGUGGUAGGACUAAUUGUUGGUGUGGUCCAGCAAAGUGAAAGCGAAAGUAAUGUCUUUCCCCUAAAUGAAGUCAAAGCCUGCUUUGCAGUUAAAUUUGCUACAUCUGCAAAUACGCCCUGUCUCACUGAAGAUUGUGAGAGCAAAAAGCUGAAGAAUGCCAUUGUUCCAUGUCUGUUACUGGGAUAUGAUCUUAUUUACCAAGACUCUUCUUACCAGUUGAAGGGAGAUUCCAGUGUCAGACGUAUGGCUCAUUGCGCUGUUGAAAAGUGUGCAGAGGGAUUAAUAACGAGCCAAGGGACCAUGGGAUUCCUCUCAGGUUUGGGGGAUUCUGUCUACUCUUGUCUCAUUGCCAUGAGCAACUGCGUGAAAACUGAACCCAAAUUCAAGCUCAAAUCUGAACUUUGAUUUAUCAGGCCAUGGCAUCAUAGUGUACAUUUUGUAUUGCUGACCAUGUAUUCAAUUAUUUUGUAUGACUGCAUGACCGGUUUCAAAGGUCUUGUGGUAAUCAAUGACACUUUGGAGUUUUUCUGUGUUCUUCCUUGCAUGUAAAAUGAUUAGUUGAUACUGACAUGAUUAGAACAUAUUCACUCAGGUAUGCUGGUGUUUAAGAACAAUGUCUAAUAAAACUAUCAGCGAAUACAGUAUUCAUUUAUGAAAACCAUAACAAAAUGCAUUUAAGUGAGGUGAUACACCGUGCGGUACAGUUUGAGUGAUACUGUAUUAAAUAUGAGUGGACACUAGAUGGCGCUCUAUAUCUCCAAAUGAACAGAGAUUCUGACUGAAUGGUUCUAUAAAUUGAGGCAAACUGGUUGUAAGAAAUUAAAGACGUUUCAGUGAGGGUAAA